CCUACGGGGGGCAGCAGUCGAGAAUCAUUCACAAUGGGGGAAACCCUGAUGGUGCGACGCCGCGUGGGGGAAUGAAGGUCUUCGGAUUGUAAACCCCUGUCAUGUGGGAGCAAAUUAAAAAGAUAGUACCACAAGAGGAAGAGACGGCUAACUCUGUGCCAGCAGCCGCGGUAAUACAGAGGUCUCAAGCGUUGUGCGGAAUCACUGGGCGUAAAGGGUGCGUAGGCUGUUUCGUAAGUCGUGUGUGAAAGUCGCGGGCUCAACCCGCGGACGGCACAUGAUACUGCGAGACUAGAGUAAUGGAGGGGGAACCGGAAUUCUCGGUGUAGCAGUGAAAUGCGUAGAUAUCGAGAGGAACACUCGUGGCGAAGGCGGGUUCCUGGACAUUAACUGACGCUGAGGCACGAAGGCCAGGGGAGCGAAAGGGAUUAGAUACCCGUGUAGUC
RNAcentral lists this ribosomal RNA (446 nucleotides) under uncultured bacterium. RNAcentral's name for it is "partial 16S ribosomal RNA". It matches the Rfam family "Bacterial small subunit ribosomal RNA", at positions 338 to 795 of the family's 1533-position model. The record is from RNAcentral.